Molecule: ribosomal RNA, 503 nt
Filed under: uncultured bacterium
Lineage: Bacteria
Description: partial 16S ribosomal RNA
Rfam family: Bacterial small subunit ribosomal RNA
Source: RNAcentral
GACGAACGCUGGCGGCGUGCCUAAUACAUGCAAGUAGAACGCACAGUUUAUACCGUAGCUUGCUACACCAUAGACUGUGAGUUGCGAACGGGUGAGUAACGCGUAGGUAACCUGCCUGGUAGCGGGGGAUAACUAUUGGAAACGAUAGCUAAUACCGCAUAAUAUUAAUUAUUGCAUGAUAAUUGAUUGAAAGAUGCAACUGCAUCACUACCAGAUGGACCUGCGUUGUAUUAGCUAGUAGGUGAGGUAACGGCUCACCUAGGCGACGAUACAUAGCCGACCUGAGAGGGUGAUCGGCCACACUGGGACUGAGACACGGCCCAGACUCCUACGGGAGGCAGCAGUAGGGAAUCUUCGGCAAUGGACGAAAGUCUGACCGAGCAACGCCGCGUGAGUGAAGAAGGUUUUCGGAUCGUAAAGCUCUGUUGUAAGAGAAGAACGGGUGUGAGAGUGGAAAGUUCACACUGUGACGGUAUCUUACCAGAAAGGGACGGCUAACUACG